CCUACGGGUGACAGCAGUGAGGAAUAUUGGUCAAUGGACGAGAGUCUGAACCAGCCAAGUAGCGUUAAGUAUGACUGCCCUAUGGUUUGUACACUUCUUUUAUAUGGGAAUAAAAUGUUCCACGUGUGGGAUUUUGUCUGUACCAUAUGCAUAAGGAUCGGCUAACUCCGUGCCAGCAGCCGCGGUAAUCCGGAGGAUCCGAGCGUUAUCCGGAUUUAUUGGGUUUAAAGGGAGCGUAGGUGGAUUGUUAAGUCAGUUGUGAAAGUUUGCGGCUCAACCGUAAAAUUGCAGUUGAAACUGGCAGUCUUGAGUACAGUAGAGGUGGGCGGAAUUCGUGGUGUAGCGGUGAAAUGCUUAGAUAGCACGAAGAACUCCGAUUGCGAAGGCAGUUCACUGGACUGCAACUGACACUGAGGCUCGAAAGUGUGGGUAUCAAACAGGAUUAGAUACCCGAGUAGUC
RNAcentral lists this ribosomal RNA (460 nucleotides) under uncultured bacterium. Its description in RNAcentral is "partial 16S ribosomal RNA". It matches the Rfam family "Bacterial small subunit ribosomal RNA", at positions 338 to 795 of the family's 1533-position model. The record is from RNAcentral.